UGUUGUUUCGCUUCGAUAUCCUUGCUAAAAUCAAUCGUGGGCUCACAGUCAAGAAUCAAUGCAGUUUUACCUUCUGUAUGCUCGGGUGCAUACGAUUUCCUUCCAAAUAAAAUACCCGAUCUUUAAUAUCAGGAUGUAUAGAGCAAUCAUGAACAGGAGGGUUGCUAAAAGAUAACGUUCCAUGAUUCCCACUUUCAGAUGGAAAAAGCCAACUUUCAUGUUUUUCAUGCAGAUCACG
Molecule: long non-coding RNA, 238 nt
Filed under: Helianthus annuus (common sunflower)
Lineage: Eukaryota; Viridiplantae; Streptophyta; Magnoliopsida; Asterales; Asteraceae
Description: hypothetical non coding rna
Source: RNAcentral